This is a small nuclear RNA of Rattus norvegicus (Norway rat), 162 nucleotides long. Ensembl annotates it as U1 spliceosomal RNA. The record is from Ensembl. NCBI's taxonomy places the organism in Eukaryota, Metazoa, Chordata, Mammalia, Rodentia, Muridae.
AUGUACACCGGGCAGGGGAGAUGCCAUGAUGACAAAGGCAGGUUUUCCAGUGUGAGGCUCAUCAAUUGCUCUCAGGAUGAGCUGACCCCUGUGAUUUCCCCUAAUUCUGGGGACGUGACUGCAUAAUUUGUGGUAGUGGGAGACCAUGUUUGCAUUCUCCUC